RNAcentral lists this ribosomal RNA (433 nucleotides) under uncultured bacterium. RNAcentral describes it as "partial 16S ribosomal RNA". It matches the Rfam family "Bacterial small subunit ribosomal RNA", at positions 29 to 507 of the family's 1533-position model. The record is from RNAcentral.
AACGAACGCUGGCGGCAUGCCUAACACAUGCAAGUCGAACGAGACCUUCGGGUCUAGUGGCGCACGGGUGCGUAACGCGUGGGAAUCUGCCCUUCGGUUGGGAAUAACUGAGAGAAAUUUCAGCUAAUACCUUAUAAUGUCUUCGGACCAAAGAUUUAUCGCUGAGGGAUGAGCCCGCGUAGGAUUAGGUAGUUGGUGGGGUAAUGGCCUACCAAGCCGACGAUCCUUAGCUGGUCUGAGAGGAUGAUCAGCCACACUGGGACUGAGACACGGCCCAGACUCCUACGGGAGGCAGCAGUGGGGAAUAUUGGACAAUGGGCGAAAGCCUGAUCCAGCAAUGCCGCGUGAGUGAUGAAGGCCUUAGGGUUGUAAAGCUCUUUUACCCGGGAUGAUAAUGACAGUACCGGGAGAAUAAGCUCCGGCUAACUCCGUG